Acanthosepion pharaonis is the source of this 97-nucleotide non-coding RNA. NCBI's taxonomy places the organism in Eukaryota, Metazoa, Mollusca, Cephalopoda, Sepiida, Sepiidae. The record is from the annotation of a GenBank genome assembly.
UUUGAAACGCAGGUUCCCGUAAGAUCACCGAGGUUAAGCAAUGUCGAGUUUGGUCAGUUCCUAGAUGGGUGACCCUUUGGGAAUAUGAGGUAACGUA